RNAcentral lists this ribosomal RNA (479 nucleotides) under uncultured bacterium. RNAcentral's name for it is "partial 16S ribosomal RNA". It matches the Rfam family "Bacterial small subunit ribosomal RNA", at positions 28 to 507 of the family's 1533-position model. The record is from RNAcentral.
GAUGAACGCUAGCGGGAGGCCUAACACAUGCAAGCCGAGCGGUAUUGUUUCUUCGGAACUGAGAGAGCGGCGUACGGGUGCGUAACACGUGUGCAACCUGCCCUUAUCUGGGGGAUAGCCUUUCGAAAGGAAGAUUAAUACUCCAUAAUAUAUUGAACGGCAUCGUUUAAUAUUGAAAGCUCCGGCGGAUAGAGAUGGGCACGCGCAAGAUUAGCUAGUUGGUGAGGUAACGGCUCACCAAGGCGAUGAUCUUUAGGGGGCCUGAGAGGGUGAUCCCCCACACUGGUACUGAGACACGGACCAGACUCCUACGGGAGGCAGCAGUGAGGAAUAUUGGUCAAUGGGUGCAAGCCUGAACCAGCCAUCCCGUGUGAAGGACGACUGCCCUAUGGGUUGUAAACUUCUUUUGUAUAGGGAUAAACCUACCCUCGAGAGGGUAGCUGAAGGUACUAUACGAAUAAGCACCGGCUAACUCCGUG